This 89-nucleotide ribosomal RNA is filed under the name Nosema bombycis. Lineage: Eukaryota; Fungi; Microsporidia; Nosematidae. The record is from RNAcentral.
GGUACGGCCAUAUCUACUGAAAACCACCGGAACCCAUCAGAACUCCGUAGUUAAACCAGUAUGAGCUUAAUCAGUACUAAGAAGGGAGA